GAUCUUUCCUCUGAAAUCUCCUUUUCAGAUAUUACGCUUUUUUCUCUAUCAUCAAGAUUGAGAGAGGAUCAAGUGCACUAAUUAGCUAUAGCUAAUAGGAAUUGCAAGGUUAUUUUGUUAUCUUCCUCUUCUGUUGUUCGGUUCCUUGAACCUCUUCUCCUUGGAGCUCGAACUGGCUCUAUUCUUAUCUCCUUUGCUCAUCACUGAUUUAUCUGUUAGAUACUUGAAUGGGAAAUUGAUGAUGGGCACCAAGGCUUUUUUGUUCUCGAUUGCGUUGUUACUGGAGAGCAGAUUUGCAGUUCUUCAUGAAAUCAAGUGUGAGGAGUUGUUGUUUAAUGAGGAGCCAGAAAAGGUGCGAUUUAAAUCAUGCAAGAGUUGUUCUCUCCUGUGAAAUUCAAGAAGAAGAGGGAGCUAGUAAUGGAUAAUAGGUAGCUUAUAUUUGAGAGUUCCAAGAAGAAAUUGAUUGAGCUAAAUGUGACCUCGUGCCAGAGGAGGUGUGACGAGAUGCAAUGCAAUGUAAUGGAAACGUCCCUUAUACCAAAGUGCCUAUCUAGGUUCAAGGACCUAACAAGUAGUGAGGAGAUUUGCUGGAUUUGAGCUCUGAAAAGGUGGAGAACUAUGAGUAGAAGUUGAAAAUUUCCUACAUUGAGCACGUACACCUGUGCUGCUUAUGGAUGUGAUUGAAGCCACUUUUGCUGAUGUUUUUCAAAACGGUUGAUGCCACUUUUUCUGCUGCCUUUUGGAUGUUGUUGUAGUUAUUUUUUGCUACUGUCAUAUUAGAGUACGGCACGAGCCAAUCUUAACACAAAUUAUGUAUGGGUCCAAAUUUGACCGACCACGACCUAUAACGAGUAUGACAAAUGACCGGGUAACUCUGAACCGGCGUCCCAAGGAAGACGACCCCAAGGCGAAAGGAAAAACCGUACAACCCUUGUAGAAGUGUAAACCCAUUAGGGUACAUUAAGAAUAUUCCUGGUAUUUUUGGUUUCUUACAAUUGGGAAGGUUUCAUCUCUAGUAUAUAAGGGAGACGAAAGACCUUGUAAAGGGGGACGGAGAAAAAACUUACCAAUCUUGAAUGAAAAGAAACUCUUCAAUUUUCUUCCUUUUA
Nicotiana tabacum (common tobacco) is the source of this 1109-nucleotide non-coding RNA. The record is from RefSeq and is a predicted model, not a curated record. NCBI's taxonomy places the organism in Eukaryota, Viridiplantae, Streptophyta, Magnoliopsida, Solanales, Solanaceae.